RNAcentral lists this ribosomal RNA (1346 nucleotides) under uncultured bacterium. RNAcentral describes it as "bacterial SSU rRNA". It matches the Rfam family "Bacterial small subunit ribosomal RNA", at positions 28 to 1381 of the family's 1533-position model. The record is from RNAcentral.
GACGAACGCUGGCGGCGUGCUUAACACAUGCAAGUCGAACGAUGAAGCCUAGCUUGCUAGGUGGAUUAGUGGCGAACGGGUGAGUAAUACGUGAGUGACCUACCUUUGACUCUGGGAUAAGCCUGGGAAACUGGGUCUAAUACCGGAUAUGACCAAUCUCCGCAUGGGGUGUUGGUGGAAAGCGUUAUGGAGUGGUUUUAGAUGGGCUCACGGCCUAUCAGCUUGUUGGUGAGGUAAUGGCUUACCAAGGCGACGGCGGGUAGCCGGCCUGAGAGGGUGACCGGCCACACUGGGACUGAGACACGGCCCAGACUCCUACGGGAGGCAGCAGUGGGGAAUAUUGCACAAUGGGCGCAAGCCUGAUGCAGCGACGCCGCGUGAGGGAUGACGGCCUUCGGGUUGUAAACCUCUGUUAGCAUCGAAGAAGCGAAAGUGACGGUAGGUGCAGAGAAAGCGCCGGCUAACUACGUGCCAGCAGCCGCGGUAAUACGUAGGGCGCGAGCGUUGUCCGGAAUUAUUGGGCGUAAAGAGCUUGUAGGCGGUUGGUCGCGUCUGCUGUGAAGGCUGGGGCUUAACCCUGGUUUUGCAGUGGGUACGGGCUAACUAGAGUGCAGUAGGGGAGACUGGAAUUCCUGGUGUAGCGGUGGAAUGCGCAGAUAUCAGGAGGAACACCGAUGGCGAAGGCAGGUCUCUGGGCUGUAACUGACGCUGAGAAGCGAAAGCAUGGGGAGCGAACAGGAUUAGAUACCCUGGUAGUCCAUGCCGUAAACGUUGGGCACUAGGUGUGGGGGACAUUCCACGUUUUCCGCGCCGUAGCUAACGCAUUAAGUGCCCCGCCUGGGGAGUACGGCCGCAAGGCUAAAACUCAAAGAAAUUGACGGGGGCCCGCACAAGCGGCGGAGCAUGCGGAUUAAUUCGAUGCAACGCGAAGAACCUUACCAAGGCUUGACAUAUACUGGACUGCGUCAGAGAUGGCGUUUCCCUUCGGGGCUGGUAUACAGGUGGUGCAUGGUUGUCGUCAGCUCGUGUCGUGAGAUGUUGGGUUAAGUCCCGCAACGAGCGCAACCCUCGUUCUAUGUUGCCAGCACGUGAUGGUGGGGACUCAUAGGAGACUGCCGGGGUUAACUCGGAGGAAGGUGGGGAUGACGUCAAAUCAUCAUGCCCCUUAUGUCUUGGGCUUCACGCAUGCUACAAUGGCCGGUACAGAGGGUUGCGAUACUGUGAGGUGGAGCUAAUCCCUAAAAGCCGGUCUCAGUUCGGAUUGGGGUCUGCAACUCGACGCCAUGAAGUCGGAGUCGCUAGUAAUCGCAGAUCAGCAACGCUGCGGUGAAUACGUUCCCGGGCCU